This 112-nucleotide ribosomal RNA is filed under the name Caerostris darwini. The record is from RNAcentral. Lineage: Eukaryota; Metazoa; Arthropoda; Arachnida; Araneae; Araneidae.
AACGGCCAUAUCAUGCUGAAUAUACCGGUUCUCGUUAGAUUACCGAAGUCAAGCAUCAUUGGGCGCGGUCAGUACUUGGGUGGGUGACCACCUGGGAACACCGCGUGCCGUU